GUUGGCAGGGACCAAGGGACUGGGAGGCGGAUCGGGGCUGGGCUCAGGGGCCGAGAGGGAGCUGGGCUUGGGGCGGGGCCGAGACGGAGCGAGGGGUCCAGGGUGUGAGAAACGGGGAGGGGUUUGAGGAGGGGAUUGGAGUGUGGCUCAAGUUCGGGAGGCGUUACCUGCGGAGGGUUUGAGGCAGGCCCAGGAGCGAGCCCACGGUCUGCCGACGCGGGGCCAGCGGCGGGCCCCAGGAUCCGGAGCUUCGGGCGGGGCCGAGUCCAGCCAGGUACUAUUCUAGAUUGUCUUGUGAUAUUUACAAUCUAGGAGAAGGCAGGAGAGAGAACUAAGAACAGAGAGCAUGUUCUGAGAUGUCUGCUGUGUUUGCAGGAAUGACGGACGCUGGGGCUUUGAUGGGCACCGGGUGAAAUGGGCAGAGUGGCGCUUACCCGGGAUGGCGGUGAAGCGGGACCGGGAGGUCAUCGUGACAAAGGGUGGCAUGAGGUACCUGGCCUUGACGCCCUCCCCGGCUAGACGGUCCAGAUUGGGGGUGUCCACAUCCUGAUCCUAGUCCCAGCGGAAGCCCUGGAAGGAGAUCAGCAGCAGCUGUGAGUGCUCUUCCUCCCUGGGACGGGGUGGCUACUCAGUAGGACAGGCGGCAGCAGCUGGAGGGCCCCGAACCCUGUCAUCCCAUGAGCACCUGUCAUGCACUCCUCACAGAGAUCGUGGGCUUCUCCCUCUUUAAUCCGUUGUUGAACAACGUCCACAUUAAUAAUUCAGCCCAGCUCUGUUGUGGGACAAACAACCCGGAGUGUAGCAAGGUGCCGCAUAUUUGCAGGACAGGAUGAAAGCGUUCUGGAGAUGGAUGGGGGACAUGGCUGUACAAUGUGGUGGAUGCACUUAACACCACUGAAUUUUUCCUUUGAAAAUGGCUAAAAUAAUAGAUUUUGUAUGUAUUUUACCACAAUAAAAAAAUUAAACUGGCCUGGCGUGGUGGCUUACACCUGUAAUCCCAGCACUUUGGGAGGCCGAGGCGGGUAGAUCAUUUGAGGUCAGGAGUUCGAGCCCAGCCUGGCCAACAUGGAGAAACCCCAUUUCUACUAAAAAUGCAAAUAUUAGCAGGGCGUGGCGGUACAUGUCUGUAAUUCCAGCUACUUGGGAGGCUGAGGCAGGAGAAUGGCUUGAACCCGGGAGGUAGAGGUUGCAGUGAGCCGGGAUUGUGCCACUGCACUCCAACCUGGACGAUGGAAUGAGACUCCGUCUCCAAAAACAAAAAAAAUCAAACCAUGUGAAAUAUUUUGGGCCCUUAUACUAAUUCCAACAUUUUGAAGAUCUGGGGAGAACAAACUAGAUUGGUGCUUUCCUUGGCUUAGUAUGUCCUGUUUUUAUAGGGAGAGCAAAUUACUGUUCACCAGCACUAUUAAAAUAGCUACAACAGGAUGGGCAUGGUGGCUCACACCUGUAAUCCCAGCACUUUGGGAAGCUGAGGUGGGAGGAUCGCUUGAGCCCAGGAGUUCAAGAUGUCAGCCUGGGCAACAUGGCGAGACCCUGUCACUACCAAAAAUACAACAACAACAACAAAAAUAGCUGGGUGUGGUUGCGUGCACCUGUAGUCCCAGCUACUUGAGAGGCUGAAGUGGGAGGAUCACUUGUGCCCAGGAGGUUGAGGCUGCAGUAAGCUGUGAUUAUGCCACUGUACUCAGCCUGGGUGACAGAGUGAGACCCUGUCUCAAAAAAAAAAAAAAAAAAAAAGCUGCAGUGGACUCAGUGAUCAUGAGCCAGGCACUGUACACAUAUACAUCACCUCAUUUAAUUUUUUCUCUUGUUUAAAAUUAUUUUUUCCUCUAAUCCCCAUGUUGAUCAACAUUUUCUUAAUCCUAGGAAUUUAUUAGUUGAAAAUUUCACAUAAGAAUUAAAAAUUGCCUGGUGUGAUGGCUUACAUCUGUUAUCCCAGCACUUUGGGAGGCUAAGAUGAGAGAAUCGCUUGAAGCAAGGAGUUUGGGCCAGUCUGGGUAAUAUAGUGAGAAUGCAACUCUAUAAAAAAAUUAAAAACCCUGGGUGUGGCAGCGUUCACCUGUAGUCCCAGCUACUUGGAAGACUAGGUGGGAGGAUUGCUUGAGCCCAGGCGGUAAAGGCAGCAGUGAGCUAUGUUUGUGCCAUUGCACUACAGCCUGGGUGAUGGAGUGAGACUCUAUCUCUAAAAUAAAUGAAUAAAAUUGUGGUAUAAUAUAUGCAACAUUUACCAUUUUGUGCAUCGGAAAGUGUACAAUUCAGUGACAUUUUGUACAUUAAUCAUGUGCAAUUAUCACCACUACCUAGUUUCAGGGCUUUUUCAACACCUCAAUUGGAAGCCUCAUAUCCAUUCAGCAGUCACUCUGCAUACCCCCUCCUGCAGCCCCUGGAAACCUCUCAUCUACUUUCUAUCUCUGUCGAUUGGCUUAGUCUGAACAUUGCAUAUAAAUGGAAUUGUACAAUAUAUGACUUUUCAUGUCUGCUUCUUUCACUGAGCAUGUUUUUAACGUUCAUCCAUAUCACAGCAUGGAUAAGUUUUAUUUUCUUUUUAGACACUAUCUAAAAAGAAAAAAAAGUUGUAAAACAAAAAAAAGUAUAUAGGAUGGAGAUCAGAUGUGUCCUGCAAAGCUGAUAAUAGUUACUAUCUAGCACUUUACAUAGAAGCUUGCCUACCUCUGAAUGAUAUGCAGGUACAGGGAUGACAUUUAUCUUGGCACUUAUAGAAAGACCUGUAAGUUGUAUAAAGAUGUCAUCCUUGGAUUUCCAGUAACAAGAAGCGGCAAGACAUGACGGUGUGUCCAGGUGUUCAGGCGAAGUUUAGGGAUGGUCUUGUUUUGACGAGGUCGGAUGUGAGACCCAGAUGAGAUAACCCCAUUUCCCCUGCUGAAAUUGCCUGAGAAUUUCGUUCCAGUUAUUUGUGUGGGUUGAUUCUUUCAGUGGGGGGUGGGGUGGGUGAGGAGGUGAAGUGUCAGGGGAGUUCUAUUGUGUAUUUGCACAACUUGGCUUUCUUUUCACUUGGUGUGGUGUUUUGCUGUAUGAGGAAUUUCAUAGAAUUUUGUAAUGAGUAUGCAGCAUAGUGGUUUGAAUCCUGCCAGGCUAAGGGUCAUAUCUCAGCUCUGCAUCUCAUUAUCUCUGAUGCCUUGGGGCAGGUCCCAUAACUCUCCAAGACUCUGUUCUAUAUUCCAUGGGGUUGUGAGGUUCAGAUGAAAUAAUGCAUGCUGGCAGGAAUGGUUACUGCUCAUGGGAUUUCCAUGUGCUCCCCAUAUUCCCCAGACCCCCAGUAGUUAGAUGGAUCCAUGCCAGGGUCCAAUGCUCUAUAAGUGGAAGUCACUGACAUCACCUCUAGUCUACGGCUUUUGAGGGCUUGGGAAUAACUAUCUCAUCCUCUCAUCUCCUGGUGCAGUAACUAUGGGAGAAUCCCUGCAUUAAGAUGGUAGAAUUUCCAUUAUUCUAGGUCUUUGAGUGGCCAUAUGGAGCACACCAUACCCAGCCAACCCAUUGUGGACAUGGAAUGUAAGAAAUCAACCUUGGUUGCUAAGCUGCUGAGACUCUGGGGUUAAUUUGUUACUGUAGCAUAACCUAGUCCAUCCUGACACAUGCAGCAUGCAAACCACUUACGUUGACCCUUAGCCAUGGUAAGUGCUCCACAGAUGUUAGUUACUUUUGGUAGGAAGAUAGAUUGCCUCUGAAAGUUUUGUUAGCUGAUCUCAUGAUGCCAAUGUUGCUACUUUGUAAUUGGAUAAAUUGGACUUGGCUCUCCUUCCAGCAUGUGGGAGAGACAGAUGACUGAGAGACAAUAAAGCACUAUUAUCUUCAGUUUGUGCCCUUGGAUACCCUUGGUGGCAAUGAACAAUGCAUGCUCCUCUGAGAAAACUGGACCUAAAGGAGAAUGGAAGGUGAUACCAGAAUUGGGAAUGUCCAAGGCCCAAGGCAUUCCCUGGUCUGGAGACCACUUUGAGUCCAUGGUUGGGAAGAUUCUCCAAGGGAACAUAAAUGCUUUUACUAUCUAGUUUGUCUCUUUGAGAAUUAAAACUCUUUUUUUUUUUUUCAUUCCAGUAGCUUUUGGGGUAGAGUUUGGCUCUUUGAGAAUUGCAUACUAAUUAAUUUUAGGGGUGAUUUGUACAUCAUCUCUAUAUUCCUGAAACACAGUAGAAACAGCCAGCAGUCAGGCAACCAUCUACCAUGACCAUUAAAACAUCCCCAAAGUGAAACACCAGAUGUGAUCUGCUAGAUUUAGUGGAGGCGGCUGGCUCGAGAGUUGAUUAUAUUCAUUAUCGUCACUGUGGUGAUUAUGGCCACAACAUUGUGAUGCGUCUUGGUCUUCUUCUGGUGAGUUGCAGUUUGGAAGGAAUAAAUCCAUUGUUCUUUUUUCUUUCUUUUUUUUUUGAGUCUCGCUCUGUCGCCCAGGCUGGAGUGCAGUGGUGCCAUGUCAGCGUACUGUAAACUCUGCCUCCCAGGUUCAAGUGCUUCUCCUGCCUCAGCCUCCCAAGUAGCUGGGAUUACAGGCGCCCACCACCACACCUGGCUAAUUUUUAUAUUUUUAAUAGAGACGGGAUUUCGCCAUGUUGGCCAGGCUGGUCUUGAACUCCUGACCUCAGGUGAUCCACCUGCCUCAGCCUCCCAAAGUGCUGGGAUUACAGGUGUGAGCCACCACGCCCGGACCCAUUAUUCAUUUAACCAAUAUCUAUUGAGCACGUUGGGUAUGGUGGAGGAUGAACUGCAGGGGAGGGGAGGAAGCCUUCUCCUGCCACUAUGUUUUCAAGUUGUGCUAAUACUCCACCAUGGGACAUGCAGGCUUGUGGUUCCCAGAGCUCCAGAAGCAUCUCCCAACCAUACCAUCCUGACCCAGGUUCUACUGAAAAAUACAUGAGUCUAGCAGAGCCAUCUCUGACACUUCCCUUCUUUUGAAUGGCUGAUCUGUCAGUCAUGGGGAUCCCUUAUGAAAGUGCAGUGUGCUUUGUGAAACUUGAGGCUGAUCAAAGAAUACCAUUAAACUUUGUUAAGAAAUCUACAGAUUGAUGACAUACGCAGUGGGAUGGAGGUGGGGAAAUUCCCAAAUACAUUUUAGAAAUUAUCUCAGAAGGAGGUAAUAGUCAGACUCUUGGUUGCCAGUGACAGAAACUCAUCUUACUAGUGUGGAGUGGAAAAGGGAUCAUGUUUUGGUCUGCACUCCCCAACCCCAACCCCAAGCAGAUCCUGAAAGAGGGACAGGAUUGCAAGUGGAUUAUUUAGGAGAUGAUUCCAGGGAACACCAAUAGGGGAGUGAGGAACUGAUUCAUGACAAGGCAGGAGGCCACACAGGAGGCUUCAGUGAGCAGCUUACCACUCCAGGCAACUAGGAUUUGACCCCACUGGGGACCUCUGGGAAGUGAUGUGGAAUACAUUUCAAAGUUGUUCCAUCCAGGGGGGGAAAUAUUGAAGCAUUUAUAGCCUGGCUCCCAUCCGUCACUGGCUGAGGACUGGUCCCAGGGCAUCAACUCUCUGGCUUUUCUUUUCUCUUUUUUUGGUGGGGGACAUAGUCGUGCUCUGUCACCCAGGCUGGACUGCAAUGGCAUGAUCUCGGCUUACUGCAACAUCUGCUUCCCAGGUUCAAACGAUUCUCUUGCCUCAGCUUCCUGAGUAGCUGGGAUUACAGGCGCCUGCCACCAUGCCCUGCUAAUUUUUUUAUUUUUUGUAGAGACGGGGUUUUGCCACGUUGGUCAGGCUGGUCUCGAACUCCUGACCUCAUGAUCCACCCGCCUUGGCCUCCCAGUGUUGGGAUUACGGGCAUGAGUCACUGCACCCAGCUUCUGUGGCUUUUCUGACAUAUUCCCUGCCUGACUUUGAAAAAACUCUCAAGUGAAAGUCUUGGUUGUAUGCAGUAGCAAGCAUGGACUAGAUUGAUAAAUACCAAGGGGCCUACCACAAGAUCUCUCUUUCAAUCUCUGGGUGGAGACACCUCAGAGCUGUCUCUCUAUCUCUGUCUCUAGCUUUGUCUGCAUACUGGCUUAAUUUCUUCUUACUCAAGCCUUUUCUCCAUAAGGUGAGAUAUGUGGCCACAAAAGCUCCUGUAUUUCUCACUACACACAGUUCCUGUCAUCACAGAGAAUGAUUAACUUGUUCUGGUUCCAGUUUGGAAAAAUAUUCAAGGGAAGAAUUCUGAUUGGCCAAUUUAGGCCAGAUGUUCAUCCCUGGACCAAUCAACUGAGGCCAGAGGGGUGGAGUCAUAUGAGAACAUGGCAGCCCCCAUGAGAGCCCCGUGACUGGAGUAGGAAGUGUGAGUCUCCAUAGAGGGGAGGGCUGCUAGGCUGAAAAGGCAAUAGAUGUCUGCAGUGAAAGGAAUAGAUUAGGGGAUAUAUUCUGUUAAACCUGUUAAUUGUUAAAAAAAGAAACUUUCAAUAUACAGUUACAGUGUACGUGAGCCGGUGGCUCACGCCUAUAAUCCCAGCACUUUGGGAGGCCGAGGUGGGCAAAUCAGAGGUCAGGAGUUCGAGACAAACCUGACGAACAUGGUGAAACCCUGCCUUGUGCACCUAUAAUCCCAGCUACUCAGGAGGCUGAGGAAGGAGAAUCGCUUGAACCCGGGAGGUGGAGGUUGCAGUGAGCUGAGGUCACGUCACUGCACUCCAGCCUGGGCAACAGAGUGGGACUCCCUCUCAGAAAAAAAAAAAAAAAAUGUUACCUUGUUGUUCCUUCAGCAUGAUUUAUUAGAAAGGAAAAACUUACCAUAUGCAUAUUUCCUAUGCACAGGCUACUGCUAUGAAUUCAAAUUCUUAAAUUCCAAAGAUUAAUUACAAUGUUUCUCAAGACACAGAAACUGUGUUAGAAUCUGCUUAUAAUGAGGCUGAAGUUGAGUAAGAAUAGAACUGGCAUUUAGUACACUACUUUCCUUCUGUGGAGUACUGUCAAGUUUAGGUUCUGCCUGGAAGUAGAUGCACCUCAAGGGAGGGUUACAUGUAAAGGUGUGUGUGUGUGUGUGUGUGUGUGUGUGUGUGUGGUAGUUUCCGAAGAUGGGUACAACUUUCUGCAAACGCUUGUGCAGUGUAAUUGAACCAAUCUUUCCUUUAAGAGGUAGAGUUUAUAUUCCUCUACAUGAAUCUGGGCUGUUUAUGACUUGCUUUGGCCAGUGGAAUGCUGCCAAAGUGAUGGUGACCAAUUUCUAGCCGUGAAAGGAAAAUAAACCUUGGGCCCCCAAGAUCAGUAAGCUAGGCCGGGCUCAGUGGCUCACGCCUGUAAUCCCAGCACUUUGGGAAGCUGAGGCGGGCAGAUCACCUGAGGUCAGGAGUUCAAGACCAGCCUGGCCAACAUGAUGAAACCCCCAUCUCUACUAAAAAAUAUGAAAAUAAGCCAGGUGUGGUGGCAGGCGCCUGUAAUCCCAGCUACUCGGGAGGCUGAGGCAGGGAAAAUUGCUUGAACCCUGGAGUUGGAGGUUGCAGUGAGCUGAGAUCGCACCACUGCACUCCAGCCUGGGCAACAGAGUGAGACACUGUCCCAAAAAAAAAAAAAAAAAAGUUACUAGCUAAAGAGAAAAGUCAAGCUGGGAACUGCUUAGGGCAAACCUGCCUCCCAUUCUAUUCAGUCACCCCUUUGCUCACUGAGAUAAAUGUAUAUCUGAUUGCCUCAUUUGGAGAGGCUAAUCAGGAACUCAAAAGAAUGCAACCAUUUGUCUCUUAACUACCUAUGACCUGGAAGCCCCCUCUCCGCUUCGAGUUGUCUCACCUUCACCUUCACCUGGAGUUGUCCCGCCUUUCCAGACUGGACCAAUGUAUAUCUUGCACAUAUUGAUUCAUGUCUCAUGUCUCUCUAAAAUGUAUGAAACCAAGCUGUGUCCCUACCACCUUAGGCACAUGUUGUCAGGACCUCCUGAGGCUGUAUCACAGGCGUGCAUCCUCAACCUUGGCAAAAUAAACUUUCUGAAUUAACUGAGACCUCAGAUUUUUGGGGUGCAUAUAGUCUUAGGCCUUGAGAACCCUCUCGUAGUUUCCAUAUUUUUGCCCUCUUGGAUGCUGGCACCAAUCAAGCCUUGGCUAUCCUGCUUAAAGGGCCAUUUGGAGAGGGGCUCUGGAGGGCUAGGGGCCACAUGGAGGAAAACAAGGUUCCCCGGCUGACAGGCAGCACCAACUGCCAGGCACACACGUGAGGCUGUCCUGGAUGUUCCGCCCACCUGGCCCUCCAGCUGCAGGUAGCCACACAAAUGAGCCCAGAUUAAACUAGACAGGAAGUCCCCAUGCAACUCACAGGGUCAUGAGCAAUAAUGACUUGUGGUGGUUUAAAGUUUCUAAUUUUAGGGUGCAAUAGGUAACUGAAAUAGCCCACAAGGGUGUGAACCUGUGGAGGGUGCAUUUCCCACUUGUUGAAGCUUCUCAAUUCCCAGGAUCCAAUCCGGAUAAGACUGUUGUUCUCAGUGUCCUUGAUGGAAAUGGCAAUGAACUUUUUGCAGAUUGGACCAUCUCAGGGGAAUCCCAAAGAUGGGAAACUAUUUUCUUUCUUAGAAACUUCCACACAGCAUUGAGCCUUAGGAAUUUCUACGAAGGAUCUGAAAUGAAAAAAAAUCUUUUGAAAAGGUAUUUGUAUAGCUUCACUUCAGCAAGAUUCAUGGUGGGUGUUAGACUAAGUGCUGGUGUUAAGCCAAACCAUGUUUUUCAAAGACUCAUCUGGCCUCAAGGUUGGCGGGAUCACAGUGGCCUCCCAGGAUCUAUCACAUCCUCAGAAGAGUUGGUUCAACUGGCAUGUACCCAGAUCUCUUUGAGCUAGUAUGAUACUCCCUUGAGUCAAAGGCUGCCACAUCACAUCUCCUUUAAGUCCCCCUAAGUACGACCCCAGAAGCAUUGACAAAGUGUGCUAUUACUGAAGAUUUCAGGAGGACAUAAAUGAAGAGAUUAAACUGCAAGGUACCAAAACUUCCAUCUUUGCUGAAGACCCUCAUCCAGGCUGGGUGCGGUGGCUCAUGCCUGUAAUCCCAGCACUUUGGGAGGCCAAGGCAGGCGGAUCACCUGAGGUUGGGAGUUCAAGACCAGCCUGAUCAACAUGGAGAAACCCCGUCUCUACUGAAAAUACAAAAUUAGCCAGAUGUGGUGGCACAUGCCUGUAAUCCCAGCUACUAGGGAGGCUGAGGUAGGAGAAUCCCUUGAACCUGGGAGGUGUAGGUUGCGGUGAGCUGAGAUCGUGCCAUUGCACUCCAGCCUGGGCAACAAGAGCAAAACUCCAUCUCAAAAACAAACAAACAAACAAAAAACCCUUAUCCAAUGGUCAUGCCACUCUAUCUGGCCAUGUAAUUUCUCCUCCUGGCUUUCUGUAGCAACAGCCUUCUGAGGAACCUCACUCUGCCUUACAAAACCCCUUCAACUUGUACCCUUCAUCAGCAAAGUAGCUCAACAUGUAUGCCUCUGGGGGAACUCAUCCACAUGCCAUUUAAGGGUAUUUCCAGCAACAUCAUCUUUACUACCCCAGGACAGCAUUUUAGAGUGGAUUACGUGCCUGCUAGAUGUGUUGUUCUUGAGCGAGCUAGAGAACACGCUACACUUUGAGAUGAAUUAAGAGUCUGUUUAUUUAGCCGGCGGCUAAGAAACGGCUAACGUUUAAAGUUCUCUCGGCUUCGAAGAAGGGGCUAAGAUUUUCUUUUAUACUUUGGUUUAGAAAGGGGAGGGGGGUCUAGUUAAAACAAUUUUACAUAAGUAAAGUAGGCAAAAAAGUUAAAAGGAUAAAUUGUUACAGGAAAGUAAACAGUUCUAGGUCUAGGGCCUUUAAGACUAUUAUAAGGUGAUAGACUCGGGGCUUUGGGCGUUAUCAACCAGAUGAAUUCCUGGGAACUGUGGAUAUUGCUCACCACAGUAUCUUAUCAGUUAAUUGCAUUCUUCGAUGUGCUGGGAGUCAGCUUGCACAAGUUAAGUCCUUGAGGAAGGGGCUGCCAGUGAAAGAGCCAAGAUGGAGUCUGUCUGGCUCUCUUAGCUAAGGGAGAGUCAAUUCAGGUGGAAACAAGGCUAGGUCAUUAAAAGAAAGGGAGAGUCUAAAAACAGAGUUAGUAAAAACAAGGUUGGGCAUUACAUUCCUCAUUUGUGUUUUUGGGGAAUCAAAUCGUUGAUUCUUCAGUUAUAAAAAGGGGGUUAUAUUGAGUCUUAAGAUACAUAAGUUUGACAGAAGCUAUGCGUUGUUUUACAAAAUUAAGAAACUAAUUUAAUAUACAAGGCCCAAAUAUUAGACUUAUUAGUAGGACGGGGAGGGGGUCUGGCUAACUUAGUAAUUAGAGUGGUUAGCUAUGGGUUCUAGUUGAACAUGCUUUGAUACUAGGGGAUGUUAUUUUCUUGUUCUUGUUGGCGCUUGUCUAGAUUUUCUUGCACUUUUUGGCGUGUAUCUUUUAUGACUAAGAAAGGUGGAGGAACAGUCAAAUCAACUUUGUCAGGGUGUUUCUGGAACAUAGGGUUACUUAGAUCAGUUAAAGAUCUGAUUGGCUUGGGUGGGCUUUAUGAGACUAGGGUUUUUUUGGAUGGUGAACAUAGACUUAACAUUAAAUCCUGGGAUAUAAAAUCUUAAUCUUCAUGACAUGCCAUGCCAUGAUACUAUUGAGAUGAAUUAAGGUCAUGGACAGUUACAGUAAGAGGAUUACAAUUUUUUCUAGUACAUAAUUUAGGAUGAGAAGCACGACUUAUGGAAACAGUUGAAGAUCUGGUUGAUCUUUUAGAGUAGGUGGCUAAAGUUACACAUGUCUAAUCAGGGCAGAAAAACUGAUAAGCAUCUUGACAGCUAGUGUCAGGGUGAUUUCUAGGACAGAGGUAAAAGUCAAUAUUUUGGAGUCUUUUUUCUGCACUUUUGGAGCUCCUACAUUUAGUUUGGCUCUUGGAGUGUCUGAAUCUUGCUGCAAGGUCGACACUUCCUGCUCCUGGGACUGACAGAUUGUGUUGCUUUUCAUGGGUAUGGGCUGGCUUUGGGAACAGUACAAAUAAAUCAACUGCAAAGGAGACUUCCUUGGAGGUACUGGCCUUCCAAGUGGUGUUUGCAAAUACACGUCCUGUUGUGAAAGAGGUGAGGAGAAAGGAGUAGGAAGGCACGGAGGAUGUAACUGGCAAAAACAAAUAAGUGAGGUAGAUAAAAAGAAUGAAUCUAAUGGCUUCACCUGACUUAGGUGCAGUUUUAAGGGGCCUGACUUAGGCCUGGGGACUUAUGUUUUUAGCUGGGCUCUGUUGGCCUUUUUGAUGCGGGAGUGAUGAAUCUAAGCAGGAAGGCUGUCUACUUUCAGAGCAGUUGGAGUCGUGAGGAUGACGGUGUGAGGUCUUUUCUAAGCAGGAGUGAGUCUUUCUUCUUGGAACUUUUUAACAAACACUAGGUCUCCUGGCUGGAAUGAAUGGCAGGAAUUUGUCUGGUCAGGAAUUGGAUUGGGAUGGGCUCCUCGAGCAAGUGGCAGGAUGAUCUCUUGUACCUGUUGGAGAGACUACAGGUACUGUAAUAAAUUAGUUUGUGAUAAUUCUGCUAAUUUGGUAUCUCUUAGCUUAGGCAAGAUAGGCAGCGCCUUCUUAUACAUGAUUUCAAAGGGUGAGAACUUAGCCUAGUAAGGGGUGCACCUUACUUUAAGUAGGGCUAAAGGAAGGAGACUUACUUAAUUUACACUGGUUUUUAAGAUUAAUUUUGUAAGAGUGUUUUUUAGGGUGUGGUUCAUGCGUUCUACUUGCCUGGAGCUCUGGGGUUGAUAGGCACAAUGGAGCUUCUAUUGAAUGUUUAACGCCUUACUGACUGACUGAGCUAUAGGCGAGGUAAAGGCUGCUCUAUUAUCAGACUUUAUAGCAGCAGGCAGCGUAUAUUGGGGGUUGAUUUCAUUGCGUAAAAACUUAACUACUGUGUUGGUAGUUUCGUUUUCAGUAGCAAAUGCCUUAGUCUAUCUGGAGAAGGUGUCUACUAGUACUAGAAGGUAUUUGUACUUAGCCCGGUGUGGUUUUACUUCUGUAAAGUCAAUUUCUUACUUUUUUCUUGGCGAGUUUUUUCAGAGACAGUGGCCUAGGCUGGGUUUAGGACUUUGUUUGGCAUUUACUUGGGCGCAGGUUGUGCACUGGAGAGCUGCUUAAUCUGUUAGGCUUUGAAGAUGGGGGAUCUUAAAAUGGCUCCUGAGGAGCUGAGGUAGCUUUGCUCUUUUUAAGUGGGUGGUAGACUGUAGGUGACUGAUUAAAGUUUCUUUAAGAGUUCAGGAUAUGAAGAUUCUAGAGUCAGGAAGAAUCUACUAACUUUCCUGAUUUUUAUUGGCUCUGAGAUCUGAAGCCAGUUUUUUUUUGUUGUUGUUGAGUAUACGGGAUUGUCAGGCAGAUCUGGCUGUGGAAAGGAGACUAUGGGCAGCAAGUUUAGAGGCAUGACUGAAGUUGCGCUGCGACCUGAGCUGCUGAAUCAGCUUUCUGGUUACUAUGGGCAACGGCCGUAUUUUCUUUUUGAUGUCCUUUGCAGUGGAUCACAGCUACCUGCUGAGAAACUCCUGGAGGGCAGAGCCAUGCCUGCCAUUUUCAUCAUUGCAUUACCACCACCCAGCACAGUGCCUGGUACAAAAGAGUUGCUCAAUAAAUAAAUCAGGAUGAAUGGACAAAUACACGGAUAGGCACUUUGAACUACAGAUGAGCUUAAAUACUUUGUGUUUUUCUUAGUCAAACAUGUGCAAUUAAGCAUGUGAUAAAUUAUAUGAUGACCACACCUGUGUCUUGCCUGAUGUUCUUUGCAAUCACUAAACAAAGUCAAUUUUGCCUGUUUUGACAGUUCUGUUUUCAACCUAAUGAUCCGUUUCUUUUAACUUCUGGCUGUUGGCUUUGUUUGGGUUUGUUAGCCUGACAAAGUGGCAGAUAUUGGUAUUUGCUCUUUUGUUUAAAUGUCACGAACUUUAAAAAUGCCUUUGCUUUUGGUAAGAAACCCUAGUUAGGACAGUCUAGUGGUCAGGAUGAUUUGGGUUCUGAUGCAGUAACAACAACCCCCAAAUCUCAGUGGCUCCAUGCGGUGAGGUAUUUGUUAGUUUUUGAGACAGGGUCUCACUCUGUCACCCAGACUAGAGUGCAGUGGUGCAAUCUCAGCUCACUGCCACCUCUGCCUCCCAGACUCAAGUGAUUCUCUGCCUCCUGAGUGGCUGGGAUUACAGGCCCGUGCCACUACUGUCUGGCUAAUUUUUUUACUUAGUAGAGACAGGAUUUCACCAUGUUAGCCAGGCUGGUCUUGAACUCCUGACCUCAAAUGAUCCACCUGCCUUGGCCUCCCAAAGUGCUGGGAUGACAGGUGUGAGCCACCAUGUCUGGCCACAAUGAGGCUUAUUCUUGGUCAUGUUGCAUGUCUGGGCUGUGUUAGGGCAUUGUGGGGUGGUCUGUUCAUUGUGUUCACUCAGGGAUCCAGGCUGACAAAAGCCCCAUCUCUGCAUGUGUCCUUGAUCACCACUUCAGGGGAAAGGGAAUGUGCUGGAUCACAGAGCCUCUUAACACUUCCACCUGGAGGUGACUCAAGUUGCUCCUGCUCAUGGUUCAUCGGACAAAACGGAUCACAGAGUCAUGGGCAACUUCUCUGUGCCUGGAAGGGGAACCAAAAUAUGAAUAGCUACAUUGAUUUUCCCUAGCUAUUACACAGAAGGCCUCAUUUAAACACAGUUACUUAUUUGUGUUUUGAAGCUAAUUGUAGUCCAUCAACCUUCACAGAAGAUAUGUGCACUUCUAAGCUAUUAUUAAGCACAGUUUUUUUUUUCUUUUGAGACAGAGUCUCACUCUCUUGCCCAGACUGGUGUGCAGUGGCAUGAUCAUGGAUCACUGCAACUUCUGCCUCCUGGGUUCAAGUGAUUUUCAUGCCUCAGCCUCCCAAAGUGCUGGGAUUACAGACACCCACCACUGCACCUGGCUAAGUUUUGUAUUUUUAGUAGAGAUGGGGUUUCACCAUGUUGGCUUGGCUGGUCUGGAACUCCUGACCUCAGGUUAUCCACCUGCCUUGGCCUCCCAAAGUGCUGAGAUGACAGGCGUGAGCCACCGCACCCGGCCUUGAGUAUGAUUUUUGAUUGGGAACGUCAGAGUUACGGUUUUAGUCUGAGGACAGUAUGACGUGAAGGUGAAAAGUAGAGCUUGGCUGUGAGUUUGCUGGGAUUCCUGUGCUACUUCUACAGUUCUUCGGCUGUGUGACCAUCACCUUUG
RNAcentral lists this long non-coding RNA (14102 nucleotides) under Homo sapiens (human). RNAcentral describes it as "non-protein coding lnc-ALG1L-2:36". The record is from RNAcentral. Lineage: Eukaryota; Metazoa; Chordata; Mammalia; Primates; Hominidae.